AAGGACAAACAUGCCCUAAUAGUAAGAGUUCAUGAUACUAAAUUGAAAUUAAUCCUUAUAUUUUAUAUAUGGAAUAACAAGCAAUAACUAGGAGGACUACUAGCAGGUGAAUUAAUUUAGACGUGCAAACAAGUAGGUAAAUUAUGCUUAUCUUACGUAUAAACAGAAGAAAAGUAAACCAAAACUCACAACUUCAGGAGUACUUGGCAAUUAAGUGGCAUUACAGGACCGAGGUAUAUAAAUUAUAAUGGAGAUAGUGUGGGUAUGGAUUAGCAGUAGGAGGAGGGUGAUGGGCUAGCUACUAGUAGAGAAAGGUUGGUGGUACGAGAGGGUUGGCCACCUAUUUUACUUAAUGUUCUUGUUUAUGCUAUGAAAUUAGUUCAAAACUCAAAAUUUUCUUAAUAAAUUACACAAAAUCAAUUGUCUAAUUUGUUCAUUUCAUUAAAA
RNAcentral lists this long non-coding RNA (447 nucleotides) under Prunus persica (peach). RNAcentral describes it as "long non-coding RNA (PPER_LNC007585)". Lineage: Eukaryota; Viridiplantae; Streptophyta; Magnoliopsida; Rosales; Rosaceae. The record is from RNAcentral.